UUCACGAUUGUACCAUUUUUGUCAAUUUUGUUUUUUAUAGUAGGCCAAUAUAGUAGGAGAUUGGUUGGCAACACUAUCAAUCAAUUAUCAAUUAUAUGGGGACGCCACUGUUAGAAUGUUCUAAAGUUGUUUUAGGAGGUGGUCCCAGUAAGGAACCAAAAGAAGAUCCAAAUAUUGACAGAGUAAUUUCCCUCAUUAAAACUAAUGUAGAAGGUUUCAGCAAAAUCUAUGACUUAGACUCUCUAUUCAAACUUUAGACAACGACUCAACUGCUGAAAAUGGAAACUUUGAAUGAGCUCGAGAUAUGUCAAGAUGAGUAUAACUAUGCUUUGGAAUCUGAGGUUCCAAAUGUGAGGCUUUAACAACUACUAUCCUCAGAGAGGAUCACCCGAAGGGACACUCCAUCUUCUGCCUCCUUGGGCUGCCAACGACCCAGCUUUUCCAGGGACCACUAAGCCACCAUCGCCUACCACCAGGAAGGAUAAUGAUUAUGCCAACUUUAUUACCGCCAGGAAUAAACUAUAUUCAACAUUUAAAGAAAAUCAUUGGAGUCAUUUUCAAGAUCUUGGUACAAGCAAUUCCUAGAGGAACUAACUCCGAUGCAAGAGCUGGAGUUGGACUUGUCGUUCCGGAGUCAGAGUAGUUCUUUCGGAGUAGUUCGUUCCGGAGUUACUCACCUCUGAUCACAUCAUCAGUCCACUAGAAAACUCCAAACCAGAUGAUCUGGGUGUAAUUUCUAUACACUUUUUCAUCGAGUAUGAGGAACACUUCAAUUCUUACCUAGGCAGCAUAGAGAAGAUACAGCUCGUACAGGUUACCUGAGGUUUUGAUGGUGUACAGAGUCUAUGACAGACCUCAACAUCCUGUCGACUAACCAGAUUCAUCCGAAACUUUCGAGUCAGUGAGUUACUAUGGCUGAACGUUGGCU
Molecule: RNA transcript, 928 nt
Organism: Macrosteles quadrilineatus (aster leafhopper)
Lineage: Eukaryota; Metazoa; Arthropoda; Insecta; Hemiptera; Cicadellidae
Exons: 8
Source: RefSeq, a predicted model, not a curated record